UAUAGUGUUUUGCUUUGAUAAGAGAUUUUGACCAUGCUGACCAUUUAUUGCUUUUUACAGGCAUCUGAUUUCUCGGUAAUCAAGUAUGGAGGUGAGGAACUUUAACGAGAAGCUGGUUGAAUAAAAUUUCUACCUUAUUACUGAGGUAAACAAGGGCGUGUACUUGUGCUUCUUCUGAAACUUAAUGAAUGGCUGCCUCCACUGCUUGAGGUAAAAAAACUCUUAGUUGUUGCUUUAUAAAA
This is a non-coding RNA of Oryza sativa Japonica Group (Japanese rice), 242 nucleotides long. Lineage: Eukaryota; Viridiplantae; Streptophyta; Magnoliopsida; Poales; Poaceae. The record is from RefSeq and is a predicted model, not a curated record.